GUAAAAGCACUGAGUGGUCGAAAAGACUAGAAAGGCACUAUAUGGAGCAUUUGUUAUUAUGGUUGAAGAUCCGCUUUUAGCUGUAUGAUGCAGCAAACCUUCUGAUGGAUUGAGAGAAUAGUAAGUGACCCCCUCAGCCUGUCAACAGCAGUCAUCUUUCGGCUUAAGAUGAAAGAGUAAUUGUUGGAUGUAGAAAGUGGUGUGUCUGAUUAUUGUAAAAUACUUUUGUCUACAGCCUAUGUGGUGAAAAUGUAGGUCUUAGAUGUUGCAAAGAGCAAACGCCAGCAAACGCAGUUAGUGAAUCGGGGCGGAUUUAUGUGUGAAGCAGACAUGUGAGUGUGUUACUGCCACUGUUAAAAGUCGGAUAUCUGAUGGCUUAACAAAGUGUAAUUUCGGAUGUAGAAACAAAACAUGUUUUUAUCUCAUCCUAUAGGCCUACUAUAGUAUCCUACGUGAUACGUUCUGUUAUCUCUAUAUACAGACAAAAUGGUUGCGUAUCGCAGCAAAUGAGGUUUAAUUUCAAUCUUCAGGUCAUUACAUGUAAAUUAUAUCAUUUGUAACACAUCUUGUGUGGAUUCUGAAAACAGAUGAUGUUUAUUUAAAUAUAUCCUUUAUAUCCCGACUAGUCCGCAGUUCAGAGGCAGUGCUUUUUACAUCGGUUAUAAAAAAGGCUGUUAUGAGUUUGAAUAGAUAAGAUCUGUUUUUCUUAUAAAUGUUGAUUGAUAAAAUUCUAUUUCAGCAAAAUAGUAGGUCUAUGUAGGCGUAUAUUUGUGAUUUAUUAGACUAAAUCUAAACGGGUGGUCUCUCUUCCUGAUCCUGUCCAGAGAUGCCUUGACAUGAUUGGUUCAGAAACAACAAAAAGGUUGUAAAUAAGAUAGGUGUGUAAAAAGGGUUGUGUUUUGACUACAAGAAGGUUGAAGAUAUCCCCACAAAGCACCACUUUUAUAGUCAGAAACUCUGUUGCUGUUUGCUGCUGUGUCUCACUUCAACUCCAAUCCAAGAUGUGUCUUGUUGCUGCUCUGAAUUGCAUCGAUGUCUCAAACCGUGAUGAUGCGGCAGGCAGGAGACAGCGGAUAGCUCAUUUCUUAAGAAGAACAUCACUUAUUUGACGGAGAACGACCGGCGCACGAUGAAGACCCCGCUGUGACACAAAAUGGGUGCAGAAAUGAUUCCCCGUGGGGCAACAGGUCUUCCCGAGUCUGAAGCAAUAGAGCCAGACUAUGCUGAAUUGGAAAUCAUUGUCAUAGAGGACACACAGGAGAGAGAAAACAGCGCUCCCUCGUCACCAUCGAUCCCUGCUGAGGUCUAUCCGGACACCCUCCAACUUUAUCGCCUGGCUCAAAUUGUUGCUGUUGGUCUGCUAGAAUCAUCUGUUAACGGAUUGUUAACGGUUUGGACUGAUGCACAGGAUGUGAAUUGGAGGGAAGACGAGCAAUUGGUUGAAACGGCUACCGCCAGUGUUUCUCAACCUUUGGAUUCCCUUGCUUUAUCAUUUAAAUUGCACGCGUGGACCGAAGAUGAACUCCAAUCAUGGCAUGCACGCGGUUUUCCUGAUGAACAGAUGACAACUCAUAGUAAGCCUUCCAACAUAUCUGUAACUGCCAAACAGCCAAUUCAUCAACCCAUGGUAACAUUGCCGGCAGGAGUGUAUCAGCGACUGGUUACUCUAAAAAAGCCAAUUUGCACACUAACCGGUUCACAAAAUCUCUAAUUCUACUCAGAUAGCGUUUUUAAUGUUAAAAACCCAUCAGCAAAUUAGAAAUGAGAGUAUGCGACUUAGGAAGGAGACUUUAGAGUUAAAAGCUAAAAUAGAUUAUCUCUUAAAAUUCAAAAGACUAACAAAUUAUACUGUGUCAGAUUUCCCCCCCCCCCAUUCUGUUUAGUAGCGUCUUUAAUCAUGAGUUGGAAACGCCUGUGCAAAUCAUUUCAUCAAAAACGAGUCUCCCCAGUAACAAGCAACGAGUUGGAGGUGAUGAUCGAAUUUUGCUAGUACUUCAGAUGUAAUUGAGAAAGAUGGAAUUUAACCAUAAGGCCAUCCACUCAGAUUUAGAAGAUGUAGAAAAAGAGCUCUGGGAUGCAUCGGUGGCAUACGAUCAGUCUCUGUCCGAUUUGGAAACUGUUUUGAUGAUGACAACUAUGAUAUGGAAAUGACAGCGGCUGAAACUCUUCAUCAUUUGCACAACAUUGGUGUUUUGAACGGGAACGUCUCAGAUGAUAUUUAACCAGAGGACGCAGUUCCUUCUCCACACGUAUACAUAGUCCCCCUGCGCAAACAGGUGAAGAUCAACCUUCACAGGCAUAUGCAUUUCGCACUUCACACACUGGGGGUAAUUCUGUGUCUGAGAGACAAAAUAUUCAAUUCGGCUCCAAAACAAAUAUACCUGAUCAAAGCCAGCGUUACAGCAAAGAAUUGUCUGAACUCAUACAAAAGGCAGGGGCAUGGCGGGGGUUUAAUAUUACAGAGAGAAAAAAAUUUAACGGUGUGGAAAUAAGAAUAUAAGUGCGAGUUAUUGCAUGCUCUAAAACAUCAGUUAACAGAAAUUGUUGAUUUUUCAUCAAGAGCAGCUGCUCCUGACAGUCAGCUAAAUGUGGUCUUGAGAAGACCAUCCAUGGCGAACGAUACGUGUUGUGUUCUAAAUGCUGCUGACUAUAAUGCUUUGACAUUUCUGAAUGAAGUUGAACAAAUUAUGUAGAGUAAUUCCAGAAUGAGAUCUGACAGUGAUUUGGAUAUUGUUGUUACAGUGGCCAUCAACAAGCGCGGGGGAGGAGGGUUGCGGCUCAAAUUAGGGAAUAUCCCUAAUGAAAUAAAUGAUUACAUUUGUCAAAAGAAAGCAGCAUGCCUAUAUGUCCCUACAAACGCUGACAACAACCUUUGUUUUUCUUAGUGCGUCUCCUGCUCUGUACCCUCACCUGUCUAAAGUACAACUUGGCCAGCAUGCACAGCAACUCCAGACAGGGUUUAAUGCAGACCAUGAAGUUGCCCUGUCUGAUGUGUCCAAAUUUGAACGCUUUUUGGAUGUUAAAAUUAUCGUGUUUCAUCACAAUCAAGGCACAAAGAAAGGAUUUGUAUCAUAUGCGAGAACAAAAUCACCAGAAGACAGUAUGGCUGUAUCUGCACAACGAUCACUUUUACCUGACAGAAAAAAAAGAGAGAGAAAAAAAAAAAACUUUCAUUUUUCGGGAGUUCUUAUGUUUGUGAUUUCUGCCACAAAUGCUACUCAAACAAAGAUUGCCAUAAAUGUAAAUAUUUUUGCAACAUGUGCUUUUCUGAUGUCAUGUGCAGAGUACUACAGGCAUUUGUUCAGACUGUGGCCGCAUAUACAGAUCAGAUUGUUUUAACAGACAAAACCGUGAGAUUCAGAAAAGUACAAGGGCUUUACUUUAUGUGAUAAAUAUUGCAAGGACUGUGGUUUUCAUUUUUCUGUAAAAACAGGCGGUGUAGGACACACAUGCCGGAGGAGGAGUUGUGGUCAUUGUGGGGGUGAUUUAGCAUUAGAUGUUCAACGCCCCAGACUAAAUGUGUUUUAUGACUUUGAAACACAAACACUUGACCCGUAAGCACGAGGCCAUGUUCGUAUGUGCCAUUGAUUUUGAGAACGAGCGCUGGUGUGCCUCAGGAGUAGACUGUGUUGACCUCUUUGUGAAAAAAUACAGGCAACCAAAAUAUAAAAAUUACACCCACAACGCAUCAGGGUUUGACAACUACAUUUUGCUUGAUUAUUUCACAAAACAGGGUAUAACACCAAAGCUAAUAAUGAGGUAGCAAAGCUUUUGAUGCUUGAUGUUGCAUUCAGACAGAGAUGGAUUCCUACUGCUUUCUCCCUAUGCGCUUGUCUAAAACACCUUCCGCUAUGGGUUUUUCAGAUUCACAUUCAAAAUAAAUUUUUCCACAUCUUUUCAACACUCCAGAGAAUGUUAAUUAUGUUGGUUCAUACUCUGAUUUGCAUUUUUACAGCUAUAACAGUAUGUCUGACUGUGAAAGAGCAAAACUCCUUGAAUGGUAUGACACAGUUUGCGAUGAAACGUUUAAUUUUCAGGCAGAGCUGAGGUCAUAUGGAAUAAACGAUGUCCUGCACAAAGCCUGCUUAGCAUACCGCAAAGUAUUCAUCGGAUGUACCAGUAUGGAUCCUUUUGAUUACACUACCCUCGCUUCGUGCUGCAUGUCUGUAGUCAAAACAAUUCCUCCCUCCCAACACCCUGUCGUUAAUGUAUGACGGUGCGUACAUGAACCCAGAGAUGGGGACUUGAGUUAGAGACUCGGACUCGAGUGCGACUUAAGUCACACACACACACAGUGACUUCAGACUCGACUUGAGACUCGUCCUCAAAAGACUUCAGACUCGACGAGCGUCGUCUGUAUGCUGGCACAGACAGUUUGCCGUUUGUGUCAAAGGCAGACGACUGGACACCAGAGACUGGGCCCUAUUUAGGAGAUCUUACUGAUGAGAUUAAUGGAGACACCGGUGGCGAUGACUAUUUAGUGGAAUUUGUCUCUGGUGGGCUGACAAAAUCAGACACUAUAGUAAGAAUCUGUCCUUUGGUUCCAAAUCCCAUUCAAUACAAUAGGAUUUUCACCACAGUAUUUGAGCUUUGAUUAUAGCACCACCUAUAAGCCGAAUUGCACCAAGAUUUUGAGGUGUCAUCAGGGGCCCAUGGGGAACAAAUGUCCAAAAUUUUGAAUCAAUUGGACUUGUGGUUAUGGAGAUAUAAAAUGAAAGUCAAUGGGAUUUUUUAUGUCUUUGAUCUGCAGUAACAGCGCCACCAAGUGGGCAUAUUUGGGUGAACUUUUGGUCUAUGGAGUCAGGGGACCAUUCUGAACAAUUUCGGCUCAAGUUUCAUGUCAAUGCGGAUUGAGGUUAUAGAGGAACAAUUAUUUGUUAAAUAGCGCCACUUAGGGGCCAGUAGCACCAAAUUUUGUACAGCCCAUCAGGGGGCCAUGGCACACUAGCCAAAUGUAAGAUAUGACGUCACUUCCUGAUUUUAGUAUUUUUCACAAACAUUUGUUAGUUUAUAAUUCCAACAGUUUUUUGAGUAUCAAUCUGGGGGAGCACAAACCUUCAUCAGCUUUCUAAAAAUAGAUUUCAGUUAUGGCAAUGUGGCAGAAAUGGGCCUGGCCUAUACCAUGAGAUUCAGCUGGAUCCCCCGAACGCAUAAAUGUAAGGUUUUUGAUAUGCGCCUGUGUGAGUGUGAGUUCCAAGCCCAAUCACAAUUACCUUGUGUAUAGCGUCCCCUAGAGGUAGAAGUGUGUGAAUUUUUGCACUUGAGGUACUUGCAGGGGUGUGGAGCUACCCUAUGAGUUUCGCAGCUGUAGCACUUACCGUCCAGGCUGCAGUACCACUUUUAGCGGCGGAACAAACAAGAGGGCGCCGUGAUACCCAGAGUUCUUUUACCAGAGAAGAGCUCAAACAUCAGGAGAACACCACCAGUAGAUUUAAUUCCGACUUUUCUCAUGUCAGUGGAAAUUUUGGACACUUUGGUCAAGGCUUCACUUUCCGCUGUUCAUGUGGUGAGACGACAGGGAGGACGCUCGACUUUGUUUGUUUUUCCAUUGCGGAAAAGUUGUACAUGUACCUGCUUCCAGGUACUUUUCCUAUUACCUUCAUUGAGGUUCUAAGCGAGCUGAGGCGAUACUAUACUGAGGUGAAAACACGGCAGACUGCUGAUGAGAGAAUCGUCACUAUUCACUGCGUCAUUGUGCGUUCCAGACGGAGUAACCAUGAACAACUCCGCCAUUUUUAAAUAGUUUGGCCAGAGGAGACUCCUCCUCCUCCAUCAAACGAGGAGGUGCAGACUUUCCAUUGUUUAGUUGCCGACGAGAGGAUCCAGCGAGAGCUUGAUGGGGCAAUGAGGUACGAAAAAGUGUAUCAAGAAGUGUGCUGUCCACACACGGCUACAAAAGGACAUUCCAGCAAUGUAGGGAAAAGUAAAGAAAACUGAAAAGUGACUACAGAGCUGUAAAGGACACAGUGGUUCAAGCCGAAAAAGCUGGAAGUGGUAUGAACAGAUGGACGGUAUCUACGGCCAUAGACUGGCGAGCAACGGGAGGGAGGGUGGACUUGACUCGGCCACCAGUUUGUUGGAGUCUCUGAUGGAGGAUGGUAAAUGUUUAAGUUUAACAUUAAUUCUGUGGGCACACUCUGCUUGAGAGUUUUGUUUUCUGUAGGCUGGCUUUUGGAAAGCUAAAGCUCACUUAUAACAGCGAGGACUACUAAGUCGUAAACUUGUGUCACCAUGUCUUUUAUGUAGCAGCUGUAAUAAUACAUGUGAACAAUUUAAAACACACAACCUUUGAAUGACAUGCGAGUUCAAAUGUUAGCUACAUUAGCAUAACUUACUCUCUUGCGUUGGCUUUGAAAACCCGGGGUCGUCUCGUAGUCUGAACUCUGUAGUAAUUCCCAAACUCUACGGUUGUUUUUCAGCAGCGUUUCAUUUUGGUGCCUUCAGCUUCUCCUGAAACAACAUUUGUCUUCAUGCUGUGAGAAAGCCGAGGAUCAAAAACAGCAUUCACUUGAUUUCCUCCAUUGUCGUGUGUGUGUGUGUGUGUGUGUGUGUGUGUGUGUGUGUGUGUGUGUGUGUGUGUGUGUGUGUGUGUGUGUGUGUGUGUGUGUGUGUGUGUGUGUGUGUCUCUCAGGUGUUUAUCGCAUAGAAGAUUACGUCACGGCAGUUUCCUGCUGCGUCGGUAUGAUGACCAGGUACUAUUGUGGAGGUGCUAUCUGCAUUGGAAAAUGAAGCGCAAAGCGAGUUGAGGCGAGUCAAGCUGGUAUUGGUGAUGGAAAAGCACCAAAAGUGACCAACCAGAGAGGGUAACACUUUGGAUCACUACACCACAGUUAGCAGUGCGUAUCACACUGUCCCUCGAGCUCUACUGGGACACUUUGACCACACAAUGGUUCACUUGAUUCCUGCUUACAGAGAAAAAUUAAAACACUGUAAACCUGUAGUAAGGACAUCAAAGCAGUGGACCAGUGAAGCUGUAGAGAACCUCCAGGCGUGUUUGGACUGCACUGACUGGGAUGUUUUCAGGUCUGUUACCAACAACCUGGGGGAGUAUGCAGAGGCUGUGACGUCCUAUAUCAAUUUCUGUGAGGACAGCUGCAUACCAACAUGCACCAGGGUGAGAUGUGAGACAGCUGUACGCAGAAAGAUUACAGCACCAGUUCUCAAAUAAUGAUGCUUCUGUCUAUAGAGGCUUCAGAUCACCAGCUACAAACCUAAAUCCUCCCACCCCAUGAACGACUCAAGCCUUGCCAAUGAUGAAAUGUCGUUUUGAAAGACAAUGGGACAGACCUGACACCAUCCCCCAUCACACCACUGAUCGGCCACAGUCCUCUAUCUCAUCCUCCACCUCCUACCCCUCUCAACAUCCUGGAGAGGGAUGUCAGACUGUUCAGGAGGCAGAAACCUCGCAAAGCAGCUGAGCCGGACUCUGUCUCCUCAUCCACCCUGAAGCACUGCGCCAAUCAGCUGUCUCCGGUGUUCAGACAUUUUUAAUACCUCGCUGGAGACAUGCCAUGUGCCAGCCUGCAUCAAAGCCUCAAUCAUCUCUGUCCCCCCCAAAAAAAACAAUUACCACUGGACUAAACGACUACAGACCCGUCACCCUAACCUCUGUGGUUAAGUCUUUGAGCACUGUAAUGGGAAUUCCAUGAGUACCAGCUCCAAACACAGUCAUGUAAUUACAGUGUGGGAGGAUUUACUGGUGUCCUUUUUAGACCGAUUUCAUAUUUCAUUAUUGGUCCCUGAUUCCAGGGUGGUGCCCCAUAGUUAUUAAUGACAAUUAAUACAUAUAGAUAUUAAUAAUUUUAUUAAUAUUUCUAGAAUGAUAUUGAUAUUCUGUCAUGGGUUGGUCUCUCUCCCCUUUUUUCCUUUUGUUCUCCGUUUCCCCGCCCCUGUUGUUUCUGUCAGUCAUGUGUCUCUUGUCCCAUGUCUGUGUGUGAUUGGGCGUAUCUGAGCCUGGCCUCUCUCCACCUGCAGCACUCCGCACCUGGGACUCAUCAACUCAUCAACGCCUCCAGUCUUAAGCUCUGGUUCAGUCUCCACUCGUUGCCAGUUCGUCCGUUUACCUACAGUGGUAUUUUGCUCCGGCCAAUUUCCUAGUUUGACUAAAAUACCUUUUUGUGACUUUGCCUAUCCUCUUGUUUCCUGUCUGCCACAGUUCCACCCUGGUGCGGUGUCGCUGCCAGCCUGCCUGUAUUCUGGAUCGCCAGCCCGUUGCUCACAGCCUGCCAGUCUGCCUGCCCGUCCUGACACUAUGCAAUCGGAUCCCCCCGAGACUGGAAACUCUCCUCCGCCAGCCCCCCGAACUCCUUUGCCAUCUCUGAGCUCUUUAAAUAAAGUCCUGCCUGUGUGCCUGCCUA
Micropterus salmoides (largemouth bass) is the source of this 8357-nucleotide long non-coding RNA. RefSeq lists it as uncharacterized. The record is from RefSeq and is a predicted model, not a curated record. Lineage: Eukaryota; Metazoa; Chordata; Actinopteri; Centrarchiformes; Centrarchidae. The transcript is spliced from 6 exons.